GACGAACGCUUGCGGCGUGCUUAACACAUGCAAGUCGAACGGAAAGGCCCUGCUUUUGUGGGGUGCUCGAGUGGCGAACGGGUGAGUAACACGUGAGUAACCUGCCCUUGACUUUGGGAUAACUUCAGGAAACUGGGGCUAAUACCGGAUAGGAGCUCCUGCUGCAUGGUGGGGGUUGGAAAGUUUCGGCGGUUGGGGAUGGACUCGCGGCUUAUCAGCUUGUUGGUGGGGUAGUGGCUUACCAAGGCUUUGACGGGUAGCCGGCCUGAGAGGGUGACCGGUCACAUUGGGACUGAGAUACGGCCCAGACUCCUACGGGAGGCAGCAGUGGGGAAUAUUGCACAAUGGGCGGAAGCCUGAUGCAGCAACGCCGCGUGCGGGAUGACGGCCUUCGGGUUGUAAACCGCUUUCGCCCGUGACGAAGCGUGAGUGACGGUAAUGGGUAAAGAAGCACCGGCUAACUACGUGCCAGCAGCCGCGGUGAUACGUAGGGUGCGAGCGUUGUCCGGAUUUAUUGGGCGUAAAGGGCUCGUAGGUGGUUGAUCGCGUCGGAAGUGUAAUCUUGGGGCUUAACCCUGAGCGUGCUUUCGAUACGGGUUGACUUGAGGAAGGUAGGGGAGAAUGGAAUUCCUGGUGGAGCGGUGGAAUGCGCAGAUAUCAGGAGGAACACCAGUGGCGAAGGCGGUUCUCUGGGCCUUUCCUGACGCUGAGGAGCGAAAGCGUGGGGAGCGAACAGGCUUAGAUACCCUGGUAGUCCACGCUGUAAACGGUGGGUACUAGGUGUGGGGUCCAUUCCACGGGUUCCGUGCCGUAGCUAACGCUUUAAGUACCCCGCCUGGGGAGUACGGCCGCAAGGCUAAAACUCAAAGGAAUUGACGGGGCCCCGCACAAGCGGCGGAGCAUGCGGAUUAAUUCGAUGCAACGCGUAGAACCUUACCUGGGUUUGACAUGGAUCGGGAGUGCUCAGAGAUGGGUGUGCCUCUUUUGGGGUCGGUUCACAGGUGGUGCAUGGCUGUCGUCAGCUCGUGUCGUGAGAUGUUGGGUUAAGUCCCGCAACGAGCGCAACCCUUGUUCACUGUUGCCAGCACGUUAUGGUGGGGACUCAGUGGAGACCGCCGGGGUCAACUCGGAGGAAGGUGGGGAUGACGUCAAGUCAUCAUGCCCCUUAUGUCCAGGGCUUCACGCAUGCUACAAUGGCUGGUACAGAGAGUGGCGAGCCUGUGAGGGUGAGCGAAUCUCGGAAAGCCGGUCUCAGUUCGGAUUGGGGUCUGCAACUCGACCUCAUGAAGUCGGAGUCGCUAGUAAUCGCAGAUCAGCAACGCUGCGGUGAAUACGUUCCCGGG
RNAcentral lists this ribosomal RNA (1343 nucleotides) under uncultured bacterium. RNAcentral describes it as "16S ribosomal RNA". It matches the Rfam family "Bacterial small subunit ribosomal RNA", at positions 28 to 1378 of the family's 1533-position model. The record is from RNAcentral.